RNAcentral lists this ribosomal RNA (301 nucleotides) under uncultured bacterium. Its description in RNAcentral is "partial 16S ribosomal RNA". It matches the Rfam family "Bacterial small subunit ribosomal RNA", at positions 509 to 809 of the family's 1533-position model. The record is from RNAcentral.
CAGUCGCCACGGUAAUACGAAGGGUGCAAGCGUUACUCGGAAUUACUGGGCGUAAAGCGUGCGUAGGUGGUUGUUUAAGUCUGCUGUGAAAGCCCUGGGCUCAACCUGGGAAUUGCAGUGGAUACUGGGCAACUAGAGUAAGGUAGAGGAUAGUGGAAUUUCCGGUGUAGCAGUGAAAUGCGUAGAGAUCGGAAGGAACAUCUGUGGCGAAGGCGACUAUCUGGGCCAUUACUGACACUGAGGCACGAAAGCGUGGGGAGCAAACAGGAUUAGAUACCCCCGUAGUCCCUGUCUCUUAUAA